CAAAAUUUCUCCGAACCCUACCCCGCACUACAAUCUUCUCAUGCUUGGCUUCUUCUUUGGCUUGGCUUCGUGUUCGUCUUCUCCUGCGAGGUGGAGCGUCGAGAUGGAGGUGUCGAGGUGGAGGCAUCGAGGUGGAGGCGUCGAGGAAUUUGUGAGUUGAGCGAGUUCGAGGUGCUCUGGUGCACUCCUGCACUGACCGUCAAGCUCCUUGGACUAAUAAUAUG
RNAcentral lists this small RNA (224 nucleotides) under Vigna angularis var. angularis. RNAcentral's name for it is "Non-protein coding transcript". Lineage: Eukaryota; Viridiplantae; Streptophyta; Magnoliopsida; Fabales; Fabaceae. The record is from RNAcentral.